AGUGAACGCUGGCGGUAGGCCUAACACAUGCAAGUCGAACGGCAGCACAGUAAGAGCUUGCUCUUACGGGUGGCGAGUGGCGGACGGGUGAGGAAUACAUCGGAAUCUACUUUUUCGUGGGGGAUAACGUAGGGAAACUUACGCUAAUACCGCAUACGACCUACGGGUGAAAGCAGGGGAUCUUCGGACCUUGCGCGAUUGAAUGAGCCGAUGUCGGAUUAGCUAGUUGGCGGGGUAAGGGCCCACCAAGGCGACGAUCCGUAGCUGGUCUGAGAGGAUGAUCAGCCACACUGGUACUGAGACACGGUCCAGACUCCUACGGGAGGCAGCAGUGGGGAAUAUUGGACAAUGGGCGCAAGCCUGAUCCAGCCAUACCGCGUGGGUGAAGAAGGCCUUCGGGUUGUAAAGCCCUUUUGUUGGGAAAGAAAAGCAGCAGGUUAAUACCCCGCUGUUCUGACGGUACCCAAAGAAUAAGCACCGGCUAACUUCGUG
RNAcentral lists this ribosomal RNA (492 nucleotides) under uncultured bacterium. RNAcentral describes it as "partial 16S ribosomal RNA". It matches the Rfam family "Bacterial small subunit ribosomal RNA", at positions 29 to 507 of the family's 1533-position model. The record is from RNAcentral.